CAUUUUUCUGUUUAUUGUAAAUAAGAAUAGAAUAUGUUUCUGAACACUUCUACAUUAAGGUGGAUGCUACUACCAUGAUUACGGAUAAUCAUGAAUGAAUUGUUAAUAAUGAUGAGUGAGAAAGUUAGAGGGUCAAAGAUCAUACCCCCAAAAACAUUCUAACCUUUCACCAUUACCAAUAACAGUGGAGGUUAGGAUUUUCUUUUGGAUAUGAUAUUUAGGCAUCUAACUUUCUCACUCAUUAUUCAUGAUUAUCUGUAAUCAUGGUAUCAUCCACGUUAAUGUAGACGUGUUCAGAGACAUUCUAUUCUUACUUCCAAUAAAAGUGACUACAAAAUUACGCAAUACAUUAUUUACCAUUUCUAUUGGGCACAACAUAAUCUGAAACAACCAAAACAAACUGCAAUUGCAUCCAACCAAUUUGUAGUCCCAAGCUUGGUGGGAAUAUGGGCCCAAAUACUAAACUUGACUACAUUUAAUACACUAUAAGUGAAUUUGUCUAAAUACUUAUGACACCUUAAAGUGGGGGGACUAGAUACAUAAUGUGCUUUCAUUUCUAAACAGUGAAAAUACCCUCAAAUAGACUGCCCAAGUGGCGCAGCAUCUCAGUGCUAGAGGCCUCACUACAGACACUGGUUCGAUUCCCAGCUGUAUCACAACCGGCCGAUUGGGAGUCCCAUAGGGCGGCGCAUAAUUGGCCCAGCAUCAUUAGGGUUUGGCCGGGGUAGGCCGUCUUUGUAAAUAAGAAUUUGUUCUUAACUGACUUGCCUGGUUGAAUAGAAAAUGCAAUAAAAGGUGACAUUCUGUACUGUAGCCUAGUAUGAAACAUUUGAUUUCCAAUCCAAAAUAUUUUAUUUCAAAUCCAAAUUGCUGGAGUGAAGAGACAUUAAAUGUUUUGCUUCACUGUCUAAAUAAAUAUGUGUGUCCAGAAAGAUCUGUUUAGUACAUUACGAAAGACCAUUUGCAAGCGAGCAUGGAGCAGCCUGGGCAUAUGGUGGGGAGGGAAAGACAUGUCAAGCUGACCCAAAUUUUACAGCUAUUCUGGCAUGCCUCCACGGUUUGGUCUUCCAAAAAGGUUGCAAGGUAGUUGCAUCUGCCAGCACCUGCUGGACCAUGUAAACCAACCUGUCAUGGUGCUAUUUGGGAUGCAGAUGGUAUGGUAACUUGAACACUCCUGCCACCUGUAUUGUAUGAAGCUGCUGAGGUUGUCCAGCCAGUGGUUGCAUCCCUAUUACCUAUAUUAGUGCACUACUUUUGGACAAACGUAGUGCACUAUAUACGUGCUAUUUGGGAUGCAGACUGUCAGCAGAGCAUGUGCUAUACAUGGGCUCUUGUUACAAGGUCUCUCCCUUUCGAAGGUCACAACACUCCUUCCUAGUUAUUAUAUUAUUCAACAUUGAGGUGACCAUUUGUUACUUUUUAGCAUGUCUGACAGUAAAAAGGUGGCACUUUAUGAAGACAAAAAAAAUAAAAAUAGUGAAAUGACAAAAUAAGUAAUGCAUGCCCAUUUUUCAAUGUACACUGGAAUGGGAAUCAAUAUUGCACACACAAAGUCCCAUUUGUUUUUGCUUAGUACUUUUCAUUGCAGGUUUGUGCACAUGUUAGAGGGUGUUUGGUUUGUCCAGUGAUUGUCUUUAGAGAUUCGGACCACUUUUGUGUUUUUGCUAACCAUCGACUGUAGUCCCCAAACCCUUUGUGAAAAUGUGUAAUUGCCUAUGG
Molecule: long non-coding RNA, 1719 nt
Filed under: Salmo salar (Atlantic salmon)
Lineage: Eukaryota; Metazoa; Chordata; Actinopteri; Salmoniformes; Salmonidae
Description: lncRNA (ENSSSAG00000110268.1)
Source: RNAcentral